GGGAAGGUGGCUCAGUGGUAGAGUGCUUGCCUCCUAUGCAUGAAGCCCUGGGUUCGAUUCCUUAGCACCUCA
Non-coding RNA from Dipodomys ordii (Ord's kangaroo rat), 72 nucleotides. Lineage: Eukaryota; Metazoa; Chordata; Mammalia; Rodentia; Heteromyidae. The record is from Rfam.